Molecule: ribosomal RNA, 1097 nt
Filed under: uncultured Methanobacteriales archaeon
Lineage: Archaea; Methanobacteriati; Methanobacteriota; Methanobacteria; Methanobacteriales
Description: bacterial SSU rRNA
Rfam family: Archaeal small subunit ribosomal RNA
Source: RNAcentral
UUUGGGGUAAAAGCCCAACAAGCCAUUGAUCGGUACCGGUGGUGAGAGCUAGAGCCGGGAGAUGGACUCUGAGACAUGAGUCCAGGCCCUACGGGGCGCAGCAGGCGCGCAACCUUUACACUGUACGAAAGUGCGAUAGGGGGAUUCUAAGCGCUUAUCAGCAAUGGUAAGCUUUUGCCAAGACCAAAGCCCUUGGCGAAUAAGUGGUGGGUAAUACGGGUGGCAGCCGCCGCGGUAAUACCCGAGCCACAAGUGGUGACCGUUUUUAUUGGGUUUAAAGCAUCCGUAGCCGGCCUGAUUAGUCCAUGAUUAAAUCUCUUGCUAAACGAGAGGCUGUCAUGGAUACUUUCAGGCUAGGGACCAGGAGAGGUCAGAGGUACUUUUGGGGUAGGGGUGAAAUCCGUUGAUCCUAAAGGGACCACCGAUGGCGAAGGCAUCUGACUAGAAUGGCUCCGACGGUGAGGGAUGAAAGCCAGGGGAGCGAUCGGGAUUAGAUACCCCGGUAGUCCUGGCUGUAAACGAUGCCCGCUUGGCGUGAGUCGGUUUGUAGGGACUGAUUCGUGCCGAAGAGAAAUCGAUAAGCGGGCCACCUGGGGAGUACGGUCGCAAGGCUGAAACUUAAAGGAAUUGGCGGGGGAGCACAUAAGGGGUGCGGCGUGCGGUUUAAUUGGACUCAACACCGAGAAUCUUACCAAGGGAGACAGCAGGAUGAUGGUCAGCCUAAAGGGCUUACCUGACAAGCUGAGAGGAGUUGCAUGGCCGUCGUCAGCUCGUGCCGUGAGGUGUCCAGUUAAGUCUGGCAACGAGCGAGAUCCACACUCUUAGUUACCGCCGAAAGGAGUACUCUAAGAGGACCGCCGGCGCAAGCCGGAGGAAGGAGUGGGCAACGGCAGGUCCGUAUAGCCCGAAUCUCUUGGGCUACACGCGCGCAACAUUGGUUGGGACAGAGAGUUGCAACACCGUAAGGUGAAGCCAAUCCCUAAACCCAACCCCAGUUCAAAUCGAGGGCUGAAACUCGCCCUCGUGACGACGGAAUCCCUAGUAAUCAAACGUCAUCAUCGUUUGAUGAAUAUAUCCCUGCUCCUUGCACACACCGC